AGAAAGGGAGGCCAAAACGCACUCAUAAUGCUGGGGUCGGCGGUUCAAGUCCGCCCCUUGCUACCA
This 66-nucleotide transfer RNA is filed under the name Alloalcanivorax marinus. Its description in RNAcentral is "tRNA-OTHER". Lineage: Bacteria; Pseudomonadati; Pseudomonadota; Gammaproteobacteria; Oceanospirillales; Alcanivoracaceae. The record is from RNAcentral.